GAUGAACGCUAGCGGCAGGCCUAAUACAUGCAAGUCGAGGGGUAGAGCUAGCUUGCUAGCUUGAGACCGGCGCACGGGUGCGUAACGCGUAUGCAACCUACCCUUUUCUGGGGGAUAGCCCGGAGAAAUCCGGAUUAAUACCGCAUAAGACCACGAUACGGCAUCGUGAUGUGGUCAAACAUUUAUGGGAGAAGGAUGGGCAUGCGUGCCAUUAGCUAGUUGGCGGGGUAACGGCCCACCAAGGCGACGAUGGCUAGGGGAUCUGAGAGGAUGGCCCCCCACACUGGUACUGAGACACGGACCAGACUCCUACGGGAGGCAGCAGUAAGGAAUAUUGGUCAAUGGGGGCAACCCUGAACCAGCCAUGCCGCGUGCAGGACGACGGCCCUCCGGGUUGUAAACUGCUUUUGUACGGGAAUAAACCCCGCUACGUGUAGCGGGCUGAAUGUACCGUAAGAAUAAGGAUCGGCUAACUCCGUGCCAGCAGCCGCAGUAA
RNAcentral lists this ribosomal RNA (496 nucleotides) under uncultured bacterium. RNAcentral's name for it is "partial 16S ribosomal RNA". It matches the Rfam family "Bacterial small subunit ribosomal RNA", at positions 28 to 523 of the family's 1533-position model. The record is from RNAcentral.